CAGUCGAGGGGCAGCGGGGGUGAUGGCUUGCCAUCGCCUGCCGGCGACCGGCGCACGGGUGAGUAACACGUAUGCAACCUGCCCGCCACAGGGGGAUAAGCGGAAGAAAUUCCGUCUAAUACCGCGUGACGCGGCGCCGGGGCAUCCCGGUGCCGCCAAAGGGAUUACCGGUGGCGGAUGGGCAUGCGGCGCAUUAGCUAGUCGGCGGGGUAACGGCCCACCGAGGUGACGAUGCGUAGGGGUUCUGAGAGGAAGGUCCCCCACACUGGUACUGAGACACGGACCAGACUCCUACGGGAGGCAGCAGUGAGGAAUAUUGGUCAAUGGGCGGGAGCCUGAACCAGCCAAGUCGCGUGAGGGAUGACGGUCCUACGGAUUGUAAACCUCUUUUGCCGGGGAGCAAGCGUGCGUUCGUGAACGCACGUCGAGAGUACCCGGAGAAAAAGCAUCGGCUAACUCCGUGCCAGCAGCCGCGGUAAUACGGAGGAUGCGAGCGUUAUCCGGAUUUAUUGGGUUUAAAGGGUGCGUAGGCGGGAUGCCAAGUCAGCGGUAAAAAUGCGGUGCUCAACGCCGUCGAGCCGUUGAAACUGGCGUUCUUGAGUGGGCGAGAAGUAUGCGGAAUGCGUGGUGUAGCGGUGAAAUGCAUAGAUAUCACGCAGAACUCCGAUUGCGAAGGCAGCAUACCGGCGCCCGACUGACGCUGAAGCACGAAAGCGUGGGUAUCGAACAGGAUUAGAUACCCUGGUAGUCCACGCAGUAAACGAUGAAUACUAAUUGUGUGCUCCGAAUGAGGAGUGCGUGAUACA
RNAcentral lists this ribosomal RNA (806 nucleotides) under uncultured bacterium. RNAcentral's name for it is "bacterial SSU rRNA". It matches the Rfam family "Bacterial small subunit ribosomal RNA", at positions 59 to 850 of the family's 1533-position model. The record is from RNAcentral.